RNAcentral lists this ribosomal RNA (465 nucleotides) under Vreelandella stevensii. Its description in RNAcentral is "partial 16S ribosomal RNA". It matches the Rfam family "Bacterial small subunit ribosomal RNA", at positions 338 to 795 of the family's 1533-position model. Lineage: Bacteria; Pseudomonadati; Pseudomonadota; Gammaproteobacteria; Oceanospirillales; Halomonadaceae. The record is from RNAcentral.
CCUACGGGGGGCAGCAGUGGGGAAUAUUGGACAAUGGGGGCAACCCUGAUCCAGCCAUGCCGCGUGUGUGAAGAAGGCCCUCGGGUUGUAAAGCACUUUCAGUGAGGAAGAACGCCUGGUGGUUAAUACCCAUCAGGAAAGACAUCACUCACAGAAGAAGCACCGGCUAACUCCGUGCCAGCAGCCGCGGUAAUACGGAGGGUGCGAGCGUUAAUCGGAAUUACUGGGCGUAAAGCGCGCGUAGGUGGCUUGAUAAGCCGGUUGUGAAAGCCCCGGGCUCAACCUGGGAACGGCAUCCGGAACUGUCAAGCUAGAGUGCAGGAGAGGAAGGUAGAAUUCCCGGGGUAGCGGUGAAAUGCGUAGAGAUCGGGAGGAAUACCAGUGGCGAAGGCGGCCUUCUGGACUGACACUGACACUGAGGUGCGAAAGCGUGGGUAGCAAACAGGAUUAGAUACCCGUGUAGUC